GCCCUGCUAGCUCAGUCGGUAGAGCAUGAGACCCUUAAUCUCAGGGUCGUGGGUUGAGGUCCCAUGUUGAGUG
RNAcentral lists this transfer RNA (73 nucleotides) under Cricetulus griseus (Chinese hamster). It matches the Rfam family "tRNA". Rfam says of the family: Transfer RNA (tRNA) molecules are approximately 80 nucleotides in length. Lineage: Eukaryota; Metazoa; Chordata; Mammalia; Rodentia; Cricetidae. The record is from Rfam by way of RNAcentral.